RNAcentral lists this non-coding RNA (186 nucleotides) under Peptostreptococcaceae bacterium. Its description in RNAcentral is "6S RNA". It matches the Rfam family "6S / SsrS RNA". From Rfam's summary of the family: E. coli 6S RNA was the first non coding RNA to be sequenced, but its function was unknown until recently. The record is from RNAcentral. Lineage: Bacteria; Bacillati; Bacillota; Clostridia; Peptostreptococcales; Peptostreptococcaceae.
AAGAUCCUGGAGCAUUUGACAGUGCUUAUUUAAAUUCAACCGACAAAUUUUAAAUGGGAGUACGUGUUUAACAGUGUAUAACAUGCCCCUUCAUAAUUAUGGGGGAAGUUAAAAGCUGCUAGUAGUACACCCACCUGGGAGAUUCUCGGGUAUGAAUUUAGAGGGCCAUCGGUGUUUUGGGACUAA